Molecule: long non-coding RNA, 210 nt
Filed under: Elaeis guineensis (African oil palm)
Lineage: Eukaryota; Viridiplantae; Streptophyta; Magnoliopsida; Arecales; Arecaceae
Description: long non-coding RNA (EGUI_LNC021512)
Source: RNAcentral
UACUGCAAGAAGCAAGGGCACUGAAAGAGGAAUUGUCCUCAAUACAUUGCCUCCCUGAAUCCGAACAGACCGAGAAAGAAGUAAGUUAUUGCUGAAGAAGAUAAUUAUAUGAUAACAUUUUGUAAUUUCUUAAUUUAUGAUUCUACUACCUAGGUAUUAGAUACCGAAAGUUUUUUUAAUAUUUACAAUUCAUUACAGGAUCUACAGGUC